CCUACGGGAGGCAGCAGUGAGGAAUAUUGGUCAAUGGGCGGAAGCCUGAACCAGCCAAGUAGCGUGCAGGAUGACGGCCCUACGGGUUGUAAACUGCUUUUAUACGGGAAUAACGCGCCUUACGUGUAGGGCUUUGCAUGUAACGUAUGAAUAAGGACCGGCUAAUUCCGAGCCCGCAUCCGCGGUUAACAGGAAGGUCCGGGCGUUUACCGGAUUUAUUGGGGUUAAAGGGGGCGGCGGCCGAAUUUCAAGCGUGCUGUGAAAUGUUCGGGGUCAACCCGGGCCUUGCAGCGCGAACUGGCGUGCUUGAGUCCGCGGAAAGCAGGCGGAAUUCGUCGUGUAGCGGUGAAAUGCUUAGAUAUGACGAAGAACCCCGAUUGCGAAGGCAGCUUGCUGCAGCGGAACUGACGCUGAUGCUCGAAAGCGCGGGUAUCGAACAGGAUUAGAUACCCUAGUAGUC
This 460-nucleotide ribosomal RNA is filed under the name uncultured bacterium. RNAcentral's name for it is "partial 16S ribosomal RNA". It matches the Rfam family "Bacterial small subunit ribosomal RNA", at positions 338 to 795 of the family's 1533-position model. The record is from RNAcentral.